UAGCUAGGGAAACAGGCGGCGACUGAGCUGCGGGGGCGCAUGCGCUCGGUAAAUGCCGGCGGCUGCUGUCGAACUUCGCGGAGAAUGCUGGAAUCCCUGUCCUGAAUGGAACCUCCGCCCUUCGGUUUCAGAGAUAUGUGCUUGACUCACCCAUGGCCAAGUCACAGAUGAAUGCAAGUGUGUAUGACAUUAACCUUAGGUCAAGGUCACCAGCAAUCUUGCCUGCGAGAUUCAGGAAUAUGGUGAGGAGUCAGAAGAGGGGACCGGCACUAAAUUACUGGACAUCUGGAGAGGUUGGAUUUUAAUUUCCACUCUGCCUCAACUUCUUAAUCCACUUCCAACAACCUGGCUGAGAGAAGAAGAGGACCCUCCCUUGAUACCUUAUAUGAGAAAAAAUUAGGUGCAACUUAGGGGCAGGCUGUAUGGACUACAUUCAAGUAUGUUAAAAGCUGCAGUAUAUGCCAUUCUCUGUCUUGAGGAUGAAUUACAUCUGGUCAUAUCACCUUUGUCCUCUUUCUGGGCAAAUGAGCACACUUUCAGGA
This is a long non-coding RNA of Crotalus tigris (Tiger rattlesnake), 542 nucleotides long. RefSeq lists it as uncharacterized. The transcript has 4 exons. Lineage: Eukaryota; Metazoa; Chordata; Lepidosauria; Squamata; Viperidae. The record is from RefSeq and is a predicted model, not a curated record.